Molecule: ribosomal RNA, 866 nt
Filed under: Escherichia coli
Lineage: Bacteria; Pseudomonadati; Pseudomonadota; Gammaproteobacteria; Enterobacterales; Enterobacteriaceae
Description: partial 23S ribosomal RNA
Rfam family: Bacterial large subunit ribosomal RNA
Source: RNAcentral
GUGUGUUAGUGGAAGCGUCUGGAAAGGCGCGCGAUACAGGGUGACAGCCCCGUACACAAAAAUGCACAUGCUGUGAGCUCGAUGAGUAGGGCGGGACACGUGGUAUCCUGUCUGAAUAUGGGGGGACCAUCCUCCAAGGCUAAAUACUCCUGACUGACCGAUAGUGAACCAGUACCGUGAGGGAAAGGCGAAAAGAACCCCGGCGAGGGGAGUGAAAAAGAACCUGAAACCGUGUACGUACAAGCAGUGGGAGCACGCUUAGGCGUGUGACUGCGUACCUUUUGUAUAAUGGGUCAGCGACUUAUAUUCUGUAGCAAGGUUAACCGAAUAGGGGAGCCGAAGGGAAACCGAGUCUUAACUGGGCGUUAAGUUGCAGGGUAUAGACCCGAAACCCGGUGAUCUAGCCAUGGGCAGGUUGAAGGUUGGGUAACACUAACUGGAGGACCGAACCGACUAAUGUUGAAAAAUUAGCGGAUGACUUGUGGCUGGGGGUGAAAGGCCAAUCAAACCGGGAGAUAGCUGGUUCUCCCCGAAAGCUAUUUAGGUAGCGCCUCGUGAAUUCAUCUCCGGGGGUAGAGCACUGUUUCGGCAAGGGGGUCAUCCCGACUUACCAACCCGAUGCAAACUGCGAAUACCGGAGAAUGUUAUCACGGGAGACACACGGCGGGUGCUAACGUCCGUCGUGAAGAGGGAAACAACCCAGACCGCCAGCUAAGGUCCCAAAGUCAUGGUUAAGUGGGAAACGAUGUGGGAAGGCCCAGACAGCCAGGAUGUUGGCUUAGAAGCAGCCAUCAUUUAAAGAAAGCGUAAUAGCUCACUGGUCGAGUCGGCCUGCGCGGAAGAUGUAACGGGGCUAAACCAUGCAC